Molecule: RNA transcript, 2293 nt
Organism: Suricata suricatta (meerkat)
Lineage: Eukaryota; Metazoa; Chordata; Mammalia; Carnivora; Herpestidae
Gene: PIH1D2
Gene name: PIH1 domain containing 2
Exons: 7
Source: RefSeq, a predicted model, not a curated record
GUUAAGCUUCCCAUUUAGUUUAACCCUACUAAAAAACCCAACAACAACAUCAACAACAAACCUUUAACCCUUCUAUAGUAUUUGCCUCAUUCUGUGGCUGCUGUAGGACACCUCUCCAGCGGGGGCAGGGCGAGGGAGGUUAUGUCUAGACACAGAUAUUAUUACUCUCAUACAGUGUUAACGAAGUGUCCCCGCCUCUCCGUAUUACUUAAUUCUCACAGUAACCCUCUGACAUAGGUAUUACCGUCUUCAUUUUGAGGAGGAUAAAUAAACUGAUGUAUAUAACCUAAUUGCUCAGGGUCACACACCUUGUAAGUGAAAAGGCCAAGAUUGGGAUCUGGGCAUUCUGGCUCCAGCUCUGCCUAGGCUGGAGGAAGCGGCGAGGAUGUCUCCUGUGGCCCUCACCCCACACACACCUCUGGCCGUUUCGGGACUGCAUAGGCACCAGUCAGCCAACGCCCCGGUGUUGGAACAAGAAAAUCACCUGUACUCCAGACUUUUAAGUGACUACCCUCAGCGCUUGUGAAGGUCUAGGCAGAAGUAAGGACUUGUUAUCUGAGUUGACAACUUGGGAGCUCUAAGAAGGGGUCCUAGAUAAUCAGAGAAUAAGGAAAAGAAAAGUGGUGCUGAUCCACAAUCUGUUAGACAAGGUGCUACCUUUACCCAAACAACACCUUUUCCUCCUUCUCCAAAAGAGAAACGGAUGACUAGUUACACAGAUGUUUUUCCCCCAAGUCGUAUCUUUCCACAGACUUAAGAGGCCUAGUCACCUCGAUCAUGGAGUCUUCCUCAAAGGGUCUGCUCACCCACGUUACUCAAUUCUGGAACCUCCUAGAUGAUCUGGCUGAAAGCAACCCUGAGGGCUAUAAGAAGUUCAUUCAACAGCAGCUGAAAGAAGGGAAACCGCUCUGUGCCGCCCCAGAACCACAGCUCUGUCUACAAACCAGGAUCCUGAAACCAAAGGAAAAAGUACUCUUCAUCAACCUAUGUCAGUGGGAAAGGAUCCCAGCUCCCCAGUCAAACACUCAUCCAGUGCCUCUAAGUGUUGGCAGACCAGAAGAUAUGUCUGAGACAUCAGAUGUUUGUACAGUCAUCGAUGUGGCCUACAGUCCUGAUGUUCUCCAGGCAGCGGAAAAGGACCAAGUGAAAAAAGAUCAAUUAAUACGGAUGGCCAUGAAAUGCAUUGAGGAAAAACUCCAACUCACUCUCUCACACUCUUACAGCAUUACCAAAUUUAGAAUAAAAGGAAGCAUUGAAAGGAUGCAACAAAAUCUGACGAGAAUGCAAACUGACCCCACAGAUUUAAGAGAGAAAAUGAGGAAGGAACUAACCCUGGAACAGAUAACUAGUACUGUGAGCAAUCCAGCUGACUUUCAACUUUUAUUGCCAGAAGAGAAAGUUUCAGGCAAAACCAAGUGUCUGAUAGAGGAGAUUUCCAGUACAGAGAGCCAGGUAGAGAUGAAGGAACCAGCCUAUGAAUUAAAAAUUGUGGCCGAUCAGAAUGAGAAACCUCGGAAAAUUGAGAUAGAGGUUGAACUACCUGGUAUUAACUCCGCAUCUCUCUGUGACCUUAGUGUUUCUGAGGAUGACUUACUGAUUGAGGUCCCUGAGAAGUACAGAUUACAUCUGAAUCUUCCAGAAUCUGUGGAUACUGGAACGACUACAGCAAAAUUUAUCACAGAGAAAGCUACGUUAAUCAUCACCAUGCCACUGCUGUGAGAGCGUCGUCUGCUGUGGGUCUCCAGAGCUAGCGGCACAGGAAGGACACGACCCUUGUCAACGAACAAGGCGAUCAGGGAAGAUAGAGAAGGUGACACGGAGUCAACUCCUUAAGGCGGUAAAGGAGGAGCCAGGGCUCCGUCCGCCCCGUGGGCCAGCUCGCUGGUAACGCGCACCUCAAGCCUCCUCGGAGCUGGCAUACGGAGGGCGGCGCCGUAACCUGGCCCUCCGGGCGGGGUUUCCUCAAUACAAUGUUUGUUUCUCCCAAGAAGCUAAUUGGCCAAAGCAAACCUCUUAAACCAGUCAUCUCAGAUUCCCAACUAAAAAAAGUCUGUUCGUGCUUCAAAUUGUGAACACAACUAAACAAACGGAGUAAAGACACUCUGUUUGUGCCCUGGCAUUGGUUGCAGAUUCGGGGUAACGUUCUUACACGGCGAAUGUUGCUGAUCGGGACGUCUGUGAAGACCCCCGGGGGCGCGGGCGCCACUCCUGGACCCGGGGCGGGCACGGCGGCUGCUGGAGCCUGUGGGGAAGCAGAAAAGCUCUUGGUGACUGUGGCUCAAUCCUGGCACAC